UUAAAUGAAGAGUUUGAUCCUGGCUCAGGAUGAACGUUGGCGGCGCGCUUAAUGCAUGCAAGUCGAGCGAGGGAUAUUUUCUUCGGAAGAUAAUACCUAGCGGCAGACGGCUGAGUAACGCGUGAGUAAUCUGCCUUUAAGAGGGGAACAACUGUGAGAAAUUACAGCUAAUUCCGCGUAAUGUCUAAUGUCUAAUGAUAUUAGAAGAAAGGAUCAGGGUAACCUGGUUCGCUUUUAGAUGAGCUUGCGUCCUAUCAGGUAGUUGGUAGGGUAAUUGCCUACCAAGCCGAAGACGGGUAACUGAUGUGAGAGCAUGAACAGUCAGAGGGGGACUGAGACACGGCCCCCACUCCUACGGGAGGCAGCAGCAGGGAAUCUUGCACAAUGGGCGAAAGCCUGAUGCAGCGACGC
This 411-nucleotide ribosomal RNA is filed under the name Chloroflexota bacterium. Its description in RNAcentral is "bacterial SSU rRNA". It matches the Rfam family "Bacterial small subunit ribosomal RNA", at positions 1 to 397 of the family's 1533-position model. The record is from RNAcentral. Lineage: Bacteria; Bacillati; Chloroflexota.